Non-coding RNA from Chlorocebus sabaeus (green monkey), 4253 nucleotides. NCBI's taxonomy places the organism in Eukaryota, Metazoa, Chordata, Mammalia, Primates, Cercopithecidae. The record is from RefSeq and is a predicted model, not a curated record.
ACCACUGCGCCCGGUCUUCUCCUCUUAAUUUUUAUUUGCCUUUUAUUACUUUCUUUUAUAGUUGCCUAGUUAUUAAAAUAUGCAUCUUUGACAUAUUGCAAUCUUUCUCGCAUCAGUAGUUUUAUCUCUUGAAUAAUACGAACAACUAUAUCUUCAGAUACAUAUACCAUUCCUCCCACCAUUUUUGUUAUUAUCCUAUAUUUUACACCUAUAAAUGUUAUCAACUUCAUAGAACAUUAUAGUUUGAUUUCAACAAUGACAACUGUUAAAAAUUACCUACAUGGUUAUGAUUCGCUCAUGAAAUUCAGGACUUCUAUCAAAAAUUAUUUCUUUUUAGACUGAAGAACUUACUUUUGUUUAUACUGCAAGGCUACUGGAGUUCAACUGUGUUAGUUUUUUUUUAACAUGAAAUAUUAUUUUAAUUUUUGAAAAAUUCUUUAUCUGGGUAUGGAAAUCUGGAUGAUAGGUUAAAGAUAUCACUCUAUUGUCUUCUGAUUUACAGUUUCUUUUGUUAUAUCAUCUUCAUCAUUAUUGUCACUUCGUUGAAAGUAACCAGUUGUAUAUUUCACAUAACUGAUUAUUUUUAAUAUUUUCUUACUAUCAUUUGACAAUAAGUUCUUACUAUUGAGUGGAAUGGGGGGCAGAGAAUGGGGGUGAGGAAUGCAAGUGGAGAUUGAGUUGGAGCUGCUGGUGGUCUCUGUCUCUCCUGUAGAAGAGGUGUAGAUUCUUUCAUGGAAUAGGAGGGUCUGUGUGACCUCAUACUUCAUGCCAUCUCCUACACCUGGAAUUCCAAGACUGCCUGCAAUUAAGCUAAUGGUCUGGGACAAACCUCUAAUAAACGUGAGCAGCUAAUUCAAUCUUUUUUUUCUAGUGGUUAUAAAUGACUCUAGAUCCAAAUAUACAAAAUAAAGUCCAAGUUGAUUCUAACUUCUUAGAGACCCUCAAAUCAACAGUUCCCUGAGAACUAGAAUCUCUCAGGUUGUUGAAGUAGGUGGAACUGAGAGGUACUUGGAGUUCUCAUAUGAGAUGUACCCUGGGACAUAAGAGCCUUGCUGUGAGACUGACAGGUACAAGUCUUCUCAAGGAGACAGCAAGAAGAUGGGGACUGGAGGAGGCAUCAAAGCCCAGCUUCAAGAGGACCCUCUGCUAUUCAUGCUAUGGAGAGUAACCAGCCAGAAACUGUGGAGACCAGAAACAGCCUAACUGUUCAGGUGCCAUUUCCUGGAGCUGAGGCAACCGCAGAGAGAACCACACUGUUGAGCAUGGCCUGUGAGUCACUGUCGUCGCAGGACCUCCAAGCCCUGGGAGAGGCAAAACCUGUUGGCUGCGGAAUGGACAUGUCACUAAGCAGCAGAGUCCUCGGUUUUCAGCUUAGGUCAGGGCAGCAGGAAAAGGCCGGAAGGAUCUGGUUAAGUUCAUUUAGACCAGAACAUCCUGGAGCUGCCCCAUGCUGGAAGCACAUCCCCCGCUCUCAGGGCAGGGUAAAUGUUAGGAGCUGGUUGCAGAUCACCUGGGUCCUGGGUGGGCUUUGAGUAAUGUGGGUGGAGAUUUGAUCUUGGCACCAGUUCCUCCCUGUCCCUCCCCUACUUCCACAUCUUUACUCUGUCUCUGAGGGGGCAGCAGCAGGGCUCCUGACCUUGGGUACUAACUUUGCUGGGGUGAGAAAUCUCUUUGGGAGUCAUCUUUCUUCUAAUCUAUAGCCUUCCCUUGUUCUACACCAGCUGGCAUAGCUCUUUCAUUCCUAGGGAGUCCAGACCCUCCCCUACAACCACAGCUCUGUGUUCACUGCAGAUGCUGAGACUCUCCAAGAUGGGAAGAGCUUUGGAGGCCAGGAUAAACUCCGUCUUCCUCAGGACACAGGGAGUCAACUGGGGAUGUUACCAAGAGGAUUUCCCAGCCUUACUGACUCACUGCCCCAAAUGCCCUCAGGCUCAGAUUUCUUUACCAUCCUGAUCCACUGCUUGUCCUGCCACUUCUCACAUCCUGGGCCUCCAAUCCCCUCUCCCAGGACUCAGACAAUAAAUAUCUUCUUUGCUCUGAGAUUCUGUCUAUGAAUCUGGCUCCAGAAGGAAGAGAAGCUAGGGACCUCUAGUGUUGCACAGGAAUUACCCUUAACCCAGAAUCAGUUCCUUCCUCUCCCACAGGCAGCCUACUUGCCAAGAGGAUCAGACAUCAGGUCUGAUGAGCAGCAUCCUCAUUGCACAUGAAUAUCUUCAAUUUCUUAGAUGGUGAUGGGAACAAUUUUUGUCUUUCAGUGUUCCACUCUUUACCAGCACCUGACAUCUUCAGACAUCUAAAAGUUUUCCAAUUUGGAAAGUGUGUAAUAGUAUUUUACUAGUGUUUUGAACUUAAGUUUACCCACUUACUAAUGAGACUGAGUACUUCUUCAUCCAUUUUGUCGGGGCUGGAUAUUACUUUUAUGAGGGAUUGCUUUAAAUCUUCGGUUUCUUUCAUGCCUCUACCAAAUUUAGGAUGUUUUGGACAUUUUAUUCAAAUAUUUUUGUCUGUUCCAUUCUGUCUUUCCUUUUCCUGCAGGACUCCAAUUACAAAUAGUUAGACGUAUUUGUAUUGUCUCACAUGUCCCUGAGUCUCUGUUUCCUAUUAGUUUUAAUUUUUUUUCUCUUUUUUUUCAGGUUGAAUAAUUUUCAUUGAUCUAUCUUCACAUUCACUAGAUCUUUCUUCAGUUAUCCAUUUCCUUUAAAAUUUGAGAUACUGUAUUGCAGUUUUCAGUUUCAAAAUUUUCAUUUGCUCUUUUAAAACAAAUAUGUUCUAUAUCACCACUUAGAUUUCCUCUGUCUUUAUUCGUUAUGACUAUGUUUUCCUUUAUCUCCUUGAGCAUAGUUAUAGUAGCUGCUUUAAAGUCCUGGUCUGUUGUUUCUAUCGCUUGGUCAUCUCAGCAUUGGCCUCUGUGUAUUGCCUUUCACUUUUCCCCUUUUCUGUGUGUUGUUACAUUCAGGUAGGUCCUAUGUUCCCGUGUUUUCAUAUGUAGAGUAGCUUUGGAUUGGAUCCUAAAUGUUCUUAAGGUUACAUUGUGGAGACUCUGCAACAAGUUACAUUACUUUAAAGAGUAUUUUUUAAAGCAGGCAAAUAAUUUGGUUCAAGUCAAAUUGCAGACUAUUUCUUGCCUGUGAUGGGUGACAGCUCAAGUCUCAUAGCAAUUCUGUCAUCUUUACCUGCAGUGCUUGUGGUAUGCCCUACACAUACAUGGUUCUUAGGUCAGUCAGAGACAUGGGAGCAUUUAUUCUCAGAAGCGGGAGUUCCUUUCCCCUAGCUCUCUCCAUUCCAGAAUUCUCACCUCAUGUUUCAGUGUUCCUAAUUGCCCUGGCUUCAUCCCUUGUUUCUCAGUCCAGAAAGAUGGAAGUUCUAUUAGAAUUUUAGCAGCCCAUUUCUGCAUUGUAGCUCUGGCCUAACACUGGAAUACAGCUAUUUAUUCCUUGUUGGUCCCCUUCCCCAAAUUUUGACUCCCAUCCAGCAUCUAUUUUCUUUUAUCCCACUUUCCAAGUAGUUUUUUUCCCCAUUCAAAGCUUAUAACUUGUAAGGAUUGUUUUUUGUUCGUUUUGUUUUGUUGUGGUGGGUUCACUCUGCUAGGAGCUCACUCCUUCAUAAUAAAAACACUACUCCUUCUCUUUCGUUUUGAAGGAUAAUUUUCCAAAAUGUAGAAUUCUAGCUUUGCAUUUUUCUUUUAACCUUUUGGAGAUGUCAUUCCACUUUGGAGGGCGGUGAGUUUCUCAUGACAGUUCAGUCAUCAGUUUCUUAUUGUGGUUCCAUCUAAGAGAAUAUCUGCUUAUGUGUUGCUGCUUUUAUAAUUUCUUCAUUCUUUUUCAUGAAUAUAAAUUUUAUACACCUCAGGUAUUUUUCUUUUAAGUUCUCUAAGUGCACGUAGCAAAGAGAGUGCAAUAUUUACUUCUUUUCUUUAUGCUUUCACUCUUGAUAUACUCUAUUUAUGCUACAAUAGAAAUGUGUGUCUUCCCAAAAUUUGUAUGUUGAAAUCUUAAACCUCAAGAUGAUGGUAUUAAGGGAGGUUGGGGCCUUUUGGGAAGUGAUUGACCCAUAAAGGUGCCAUCCUCAUGAAUGGGACUAGUGUCCUCAUAAAAGAAAUAGAAGGAAGUGUGUUUUCCUCUUCUGCCAUGGGAGGAUACCACAAAAAGAUACUAUAUGGGAAGCAGAGAAUUCUCUCCAGACACUGAAUCCACUGGCACCUUGAUCUUGGACUUCCCAGCCUCCGGAACUAUGAAAAAUAAAUUUCUGUUGUU